RNAcentral lists this long non-coding RNA (687 nucleotides) under Mus spicilegus (steppe mouse). RNAcentral describes it as "lncRNA (ENSMSIG00000030854.1)". Lineage: Eukaryota; Metazoa; Chordata; Mammalia; Rodentia; Muridae. The record is from RNAcentral.
GCUGUGCCCGCCCCUGCGAAGGGAAACGGACCAGCUUCCGGUGUCAUGGAGAGGUAGAAAAGCACUGGAGACCACACGUGAUCACACAGCAGCUGGUUACACAUUCCCGCAUAGCGAGGCCGUCUCCAACAACCAGUCAUGGGAGCCCUUAUCAGACUGGAAACUCCUGCUGUGUCCUCAAUGACAGUCUGGCAUCGUGGGACAUGGCAGAAAGCACCUAUAUUCCUUACCCUCUUGCCUUCCAUGAGCUGCCCCCAUUCCUAGCUCUAACUUCAAUGCAGAAUAGAAUUCUUACCUCUAUUCUUCUCAGCCUAAGGAGCCUGCUAUCUAUGGCUCAUGUGAGUAAGAAAUCAGGAAGAUGGCACUUUUUGCCCAUGGCUGUCAAAGAGUGAUUGAGAAAGAAAGGCUGGCAGAUUCUGGGGACCUCCUCAUCACAGACUGCACUGUACCUCUCGUGUGCGCAAAGAAGCCUUUCUUUGGUUGUUCCUGGGAUUUUUAAUCACCUGGUUUACAACAUGAGAUUCCGUCCUGCUUGGACUACACCUGGAGCUGAGUCUUGCCCUAGCAGUGGACUGAGUCUUUAUCCACUCUGUUUCAUCUCUCCCUGGAAUGGCCUUCAUCAGAUUCACAUACCCAGUGCUGAGCAUGGUAUCUGGCAUCAGGUGUUCCAUAAAUAUUUCUUGAAAG